GGAGAUGGGCAGCUGCAAAGGCUGUCGCCCGCUGGAAGCGGACGUUAGAGGCGCGCAGUGCGUUCCCCCGCAUCCUUGCGCGGCGGAUUAUGUCAGCGGGCCCGCAGCCCGGCAAUCGGGAGGUUCCCUAUAUCGGGUGGUCCAGCAGGCAACCGCUUCCUGAUGGCAGUUGCCUGCUUUACAAAGCACCGCAGUCGGAGAUUCCGCAGAAAGCCCAGCGUCGGCUAGCGUGGCGUCAUGUCAUGGAUGCGCUACGGAGGGAGCCCCGCACUGGUGGGG
This 279-nucleotide small RNA is filed under the name Xanthomonas campestris pv. campestris. Its description in RNAcentral is "ncRNA of unknown function". Lineage: Bacteria; Pseudomonadati; Pseudomonadota; Gammaproteobacteria; Lysobacterales; Lysobacteraceae. The record is from RNAcentral.